This 76-nucleotide transfer RNA is filed under the name Bdellovibrionales bacterium. RNAcentral describes it as "tRNA-Arg". It matches the Rfam family "tRNA". From Rfam's summary of the family: Transfer RNA (tRNA) molecules are approximately 80 nucleotides in length. The record is from RNAcentral. Lineage: Bacteria; Pseudomonadati; Bdellovibrionota; Bdellovibrionia; Bdellovibrionales.
GUCCCCAUAGUUCAAAUGGAUAGAACGUGGCUUUCCUAAAGCUAAGAUUCAGGUUCAAUUCCUGAUGGGGGCACCA